Brassica rapa (field mustard) is the source of this 4888-nucleotide long non-coding RNA. RefSeq lists it as uncharacterized. NCBI's taxonomy places the organism in Eukaryota, Viridiplantae, Streptophyta, Magnoliopsida, Brassicales, Brassicaceae. The record is from RefSeq and is a predicted model, not a curated record.
UAUUUUAAAAUUUCAAAAAGUUUGUAGCACAUGCACAAAACCACCAAUAAAAAUAUAAAUCUCCAUCUACAACAAGAAAAAUAAAAAAUUAUAAACAUAAUGUUAAUAUAAAUUAAGUAAAACUAACAUUGGAAAACAAGAAGUUAAUGGAAAAAUAAACAGACAAAUAAUAUUAUAAAUAAAAUAAAUUUGCAAGACACAAUCCGCGCGAAGCGCAGAAAAAAAUCUCUAGUUAUUAUAAAGAAGAGCUACUCUCUUCUCCUAAACCCUCCACAUCAUUAAUUGAGUUCAUAAGGUAAUGACACGUGUCUAAUCUUUUGUUAAUGAACUUAUUGAUAAACUGGCCUUCGUACAAAUCAAUUAAUCAGGUGUGUUCAGAGGUUAUGUCUAGUGGGCUUUUAAUAUAAUAUUUAGGUAUAAUAGGAUCUGUUAAGUAGGUGCUAAGUGGAUCCUAGAAUUAUUAUCUUCAUCUUCAACGCUUUGUCUUCCGAUCCUCUGAUGCACUGCCGACAAUGUCGAAAUGCAUAUCUUCACAAUUACUUUGGAAAACAGGAGCCGUUAUGGAUCCCUUCUGCAUUCAAUAAUUGCCAUUAACGUCCCAAUUGAGUCUAUCUCCCCACUCUUUCCACAAUAUCACAUUCAUUGCAUCUCCCUUUUCCUUCAAGCAUGUGAAUCUUGAGCUAUAAAUAGGUUAGUUUGUACCCGUGAAUUUCUUCAUUUCUUUCCUCACAGUCAUAUUGACACGAAAGCCUUUCACAAAAUUCAAUGGAAAACUCCUCUCCUUCUUGCUGACUUCAAAGCCGGUCGAUGUAGCACAACCAUCAAAGUGCGGCGACCUCAUCAGUCUCUUCGAGGCUCAAUAUCUGGGAGAUUGGGACAUUUGUGGGACUCAACUGUCGAAGUGUGGCGACCUCAUCAGUCUCUCCGCUUGCUUUCUCCAUCGAAUUUAACCAUAUGUUCUUGCUAAUACUACUCACCGAAUCAUCAACAGGUGCAUCAGAGGAUGGGUCCACCAAUCGUUGUCUCACUGAUAUCGUCUUUGGUCCUCUCAGAUAUUUUUUACAACUUUCCUAAAGAUUUAGAGAGAUCUCAAAACGUCGACAGCCAUGGCGACCACCAAAGUCCAGAGGAUUAUGACCCAGCCAAUCCUACGUAACUGAGUUUUAGGGGUUUUCAAAGUGCACAAAGUUUGAGUCCAUAUUUGGCUUUUAUGAGCGGAAAGAUUUGAAGACUGAAAAAAUAAUUAAUGUAAGUCAUCUUUUGUUUUCUUGCACUACGCAUUGUUUAGCUAUGAAUACAUUGCGAACAGAGUACUUUGUAAUUCCUGGCAUAGUACAAGUGUUCAAGAAUUCAUGAUGUUCUAUUUGUGCUACUGAAUUCAUGGAGUACAAACACUACUGAGUAAUUUCAUCAACACACUUCUGAAUUUUUCGUAACUUGCAUAUCUAUUGAUCAUUUUCUUUGAUAUCAUAUGUUAUAAUAUAAUUUAUCAUCAUUGGAUCUAAUUUAAGUAGUUUAAUAAGUUGAUCACACAGAUGAAACACUAAACUGAAGUUUGAACUAUAUUUUUCUUUGUGCUUAAAAGUAUCCAUUGUUCAUGUGUAUGAAUGAUUGCAACACCGUUGGGUUCACUCUUGGGUUCAUACCUUAUGAGAAAAUUCUUUCAACCCCUUCUAUGACCAUUUCACCAAUCAUGUCUAUACUUUUAAUGUAUUUAUCUAUAAUUUUCUUAUUGAGUAAUAGAGAGUUUCUUCACAUUUUAUUUUAACUUAAGUUCAUGUUCUAUGUUCUUGAUUCACCUUUCUCCUUUACAUUAUGUAUCUGCGGUUGAUCAAAUUACAUGCUUAUGGUGACAGGGGCUAGGUCUUGAUGCAUGCAUAAGCUACAUAGAUCUUGCUUAUGAUCUUUUCCAGCUUGCCACACUAAGCUAUAUGUUAAUUUAGUGCAGACAUAUUAAUCUUUAUUUUUUUCAUUUUCCUCUGUUUUUUGUCGACAAAAUUUGAGAGCUAAUAUGUAUUUAACUACAUAGAGCUUCAAAACUAUAUUUUCGAAGUGAGAAGAGAGUUUAUUUUUAGCAACUUAUUUGCUUCUUUUGAGAUAUCUAGAUUGAUCAUUAGAAUAUAAUAACUUGCAGAAAAGGUGGCAAGAUGGAACAAGGUGGCUGAGAAGUAUACUUUCGUCCUGGACCUGGAUGAUAGAUUUGGAUAUGUAUAUAUGCCCAGCUUAGGCCACAAAAACUCCUCACAUGAAGUAAACAUACAUGAUCGUGACACAAUCGCAUAUACUGGUAUCAUUGGUCUAAUGGAUCAGUGGAAGUUAGAUUGGGAUGAUCGUGACCACGAACAUACAAUGGUCGAUUAGUGUUUUCUUUCUCUAUUUGGUUGACUACUUAAUGGCUAAGAUUAAGGAUUUCCAAAGAGCUUACUUUGUAUCUAUAGAAAACUCUGGCCACAUCACCUGUUAGAAACUCAAAGGCCAUUUACCACUACAAUGGAGACCACAUUAUUUUAAUACAUAUUUCAUUAUAAAUAUGUCAUAACUUCGGUUAUUGUGUGACCUGCAAGAUAAAAUCAUCAAGAACUUCAUUAAUAUAAAGACAAACGCAAAAUUCCUCACACGUCAAAUUUCCACUUUAAUUUUUGAAACUAAAAUAUUCACGGCCGCACACAGUCAAAUUUUAAAAGUCCAAACAAAACAACUACUAACGCUCGAUAUCAUCUCGAUUGUCCUAUCUCUAAAAAAAUUGUACACCAAUUUUCACGAUCUGCAGCAAAUAGUUAAAACAUUGACUAAUCCCAACAUAUGAUGCAAACAAAAGCACUAAAUGACAAUCAUCCGAUAAUUCAUUUCAAUAAUGUUGUGAAAAGACGCGAAUCAACUUUGAAGAAAACAAUAGAAAAAUCAAAAUGAAUUGAAGCAAAUACCCGUUUAGGAUUUCUUAUUAUUAUGUGAAUGUAUAAUCUUAAAAACUCUUAGACCCAUAUUUAUAACAGCCUUAAAACCCGAUUUCCUUUUCUCUAUAGGAAUACAUACUUAUCUAGAAAAAAUAAUUUUCUAAACCGAAAAGAUAUACUGAAUGAUGGGCUUUAACUGUGCACAUAAAUUAGCAUUUAACUGUGCAUAUAAAUUUAAGACACAUCCGAUGCAACAAAUAACUUUCACAAACUCCCUACGGCAACGUUACAUUAGCAUUUCGAGGGUAUAUAAUAACAAACACACACUAUUACAUUCCAAUCGACAUUUCUCAUCCACAAACUAACAUUGAAAAUGAAUACGAUUAAGUUACUAACCAAAUGACAAAUAUUACGCGCAUAGCACAGACCAAUCCUAGAUUAUACUAGUAUAUUUUUUAAAAGAUUAUAUUAUCUAUAUAUUAAAUAAACAUACAAAAUAUAUAAUCAAAAUUUAAACAAAAAACCUGGGGUAGCCCGGGCCAACCCUAGUAUUAUUAUAAAAGUGUUUACUCUCUCAUGGAUGCGCCAGGUCAAAAAGUCGCUCAUCCUCAACUCACUGUUUCAUUUAAAGAUAGACAGAAAAAAAUUUGGGCUUUGUGUUAAUCUUCACAAUUAAAGCCCAAAACUGAGCGGUCUUUUAGUCUUCAUCCCUUUCACGGCGUGUUUUUCUUCGAUAAACGAUACCUAAAAAAGUUUCUUCAACGAUCUCCCACACCUUCAAUGGUGUUUCUAGGGAUUUGGAUGAAGAAAUCAAGAUGAAGAAUCUCUUUGUUAAUCUCCACUCUCGUCCUUUAGUCUUCUAAUCUACUCAACAGAAGCCGUCGGAGUUACAGAUCCAGCGUCAUUAUCGUCUUCUUAAUUUCAUAUGCUGUGCUACCUAAAGCACGAUCUGAAAAUGAUUGUAAGUUAUCCCUCUUCAUGGCGGUGUUCUUCCACCUAUAAAAAGGGUAAGCCAACUGAUGAAUCCAUAUUUAUAAUAUUCUAUUUGGAACCGAUAUAGUUUAUAGGGGAAUUGUAUGUUCAUUAACACUUUCGUUCAUGCUGCUGCGCAAGAAUUUGCGUACACCUGCAUCUGUAACUUUUAGAAGCUACCACAUAUAGGUAUUUAGAACAUAUGUGAAGACGACCGAGAGACUUGCAUCAACAGCUUCGUGGUUAGACAAGUCUGGAGACCGCAAAAAGGCUUACCGGAAAAGUAUAGGGCUGUUCGUUUCAUAGGCGUCCAAAAAUUCAACCUUUAUCACAGCAAUACAAACCACCGGUGAAAUAUCGCUGACCUAUUUUUAGUCGCAGCGGCAACAAACAUCAAGGAGAAGGGACGCUAGAAUUAUGUGCAACACAAGCGUCUCGUUUUUGUGUAUCCGACAAUUCAGUAGCAUCUACCGCAACUUUUGAUUUUGCUAUUUUGGUCUCCGUCGUAGUCUAAUUUAUGGCCGCUGCCUCUAAACUCUGUGUUUAUGAAAAGAACAACCUUUAUGUCUAUAUAUUCUGCGCUUGACUCUUUGAGCAUUUACUUCAUUCAUAUUCAAAGGAACUAGAGAAAAUCAGGCUUGCGAAGCAGACAUGACUAGAAAAAAGGUAAUACAAGAAGGAUAGAUGAAACUUUUGUUGUUGUCACUUUGAUUUAAGUGGUUUCUGGUUCAUGACAAACUUCAAGUUGUGAUUUGGUUUUGUUAAUAAGAGACUUUGCUGUAUGAACCAAUGAUUGAAGCGAUGUAAGAAGAAUAGUUUGGUGAUGCAAUAUAGCAUAAACCAAUAUCAGGAUAUCUUCAACAGCUUUCUUGCUGAGUUUUAUGCGCUCUCUGAUACUAUAAGCCCUUAUUUCACGAGAAAAGCAAAAAAUAUUAGACAGUUUCUCAAAGUGAAUGUUGUAUGCUAAUGUUGGACGUGAACUGCCGUGAUUUACUUCACGAGAUAUGUAACAUAUUUUACCA